This 466-nucleotide ribosomal RNA is filed under the name uncultured bacterium. RNAcentral describes it as "partial 16S ribosomal RNA". It matches the Rfam family "Bacterial small subunit ribosomal RNA", at positions 28 to 507 of the family's 1533-position model. The record is from RNAcentral.
GACGAACGCUGGCGGCGUGCUUAACACAUGCAAGUCGAACGGAAAGGCCCUGCUUGCGGUGUACUCGUGUUGCGAACGGGCGAGUGACUCAUGGGUGGUCUGCCCUGCUCUUCGGGAUAAGCCUGGGAAACUGGGCCUAAUACCGGCUAGAAGCUAUUUUUAGCGUGAUGGUUGGAAAGUUUUUUUCGGUGUAGGAUGAGCUCGCAGCCUAUCGGCUUGUUGGUGGGGUAAUGGCCUACCAAGGCGCUGACGGGUAGCCGGCCUGAGAGAGUGGACGGCGGCAUUGAGACUGAGGUGCGGCCGAGGCUGCGACGCGAGGCAGCUGGGGGGAAUCUUGCACAAUGGGCGCCGGCCUGAUGCAGCGGCGCCGCGUAGGGGAUGACGCUCUUCGGGGUGUAGACUACUUGCGCUAGGAACGAAGCUUUUUGUGACGGUACCUAGAUAGAAAGCACCGGCUAACUACGUG